UACGUAGGGGGCGAGCGUUGUCCGGAUUUAUUGGGCGUAAAGGGUGCGUAGGCGGCGCGGUAAGUCGGGUGUGAAAUCUUGGAGCUUAACUCCGAAACUGCAUUCGAUACUGCCGUGCUUGAGGACUGGAGAGGAGACUGGAAUUUACGGUGUAGCGGUGAAAUGCGUAGAUAUCGUAAGGAAGACCAGUGGCGAAGGCGGGUCUCUGGACAGUUCCUGACGCUGAGGCACGAAGGCCAGGGGAGCAAACGGG
Molecule: ribosomal RNA, 253 nt
Filed under: uncultured bacterium
Lineage: Bacteria
Description: partial 16S ribosomal RNA
Rfam family: Bacterial small subunit ribosomal RNA
Source: RNAcentral